GUGGGGAAUAUUGGACAAUGGGCGAAAGCCUGAUCCAGCCAUGCCGCGUGUGUGAAGAAGGUCUUCGGAUUGUAAAGCACUUUAAGUUGGGAGGAAGGGCAGUAAGUUAAUACCUUGCUGUUUUGACGUUACCGACAGAAUAAGCACCGGCUAACUUCGUGCCAGCAGCCGCGGUAAUACGAAGGGUGCAAGCGUUAAUCGGAAUUACUGGGCGUAAAGCGCGCGUAGGUGGUUUUGUAAGUUGGAGGUGAAAUCCCCGGGCUCAACCUGGGAACUGCCUCCAAAACUGCAUGACUAGAGUACGGUAGAGGGUAGUGGAAUUUCCUGUGUAGCGGUGAAAUGCGUAGAUAUAGGAAGGAACACCAGUGGCGAAGGGGACUACCUGGACUGAUACUGACACUGAGGUGCGAAAGCGUGGGGAGCAAACAGGAUUAGAUACCCCUGUAGUCC
RNAcentral lists this ribosomal RNA (450 nucleotides) under uncultured bacterium. Its description in RNAcentral is "partial 16S ribosomal RNA". It matches the Rfam family "Bacterial small subunit ribosomal RNA", at positions 354 to 796 of the family's 1533-position model. The record is from RNAcentral.